This 301-nucleotide ribosomal RNA is filed under the name uncultured bacterium. Its description in RNAcentral is "partial 16S ribosomal RNA". It matches the Rfam family "Bacterial small subunit ribosomal RNA", at positions 509 to 807 of the family's 1533-position model. The record is from RNAcentral.
CAGUCGCCGCGGUAAUACGGAGGGUGCAAGCGUUACUCGGAAUCACUGGGCGUAAAGGGUGCGUAGGCGGGUCUUUAAGUCAGGGGUGAAAUCCUGGAGCUCAACUCCAGAACUGCCUUUGAUACUGAAGAUCUUGAGUUCGAGAGAGGUGAGUGGAACUGCGAGUGUAGAGGUGAAAUUCGUAGAUAUUCGCAAGAACACCAGUGGCGAAGGCGGCUCACUGGCCCGAUGCUGACGCUGAGGCACGAAAGCGUGGGGAGCAAACAGGAUUAGAUACCCCAGUAGUCCCUGUCUCUUAUAC